CGGGUAGCCGGCCUGAGAGGGUGACCGGCCACACUGGGACUGAGACACGGCCCAGACUCCUACGGGAGGCAGCAGUGGGGAAUAUUGCACAAUGGGCGAAAGCCUGAUGCAGCAACGCCGCGUGAGGGAUGACGGCCUUCGGGUUGUAAACCUCUUUUAGUAGGGAAGAAGCGAAAGUGACGGUACCUGCAGAAAAAGCACCGGCUAACUACGUGCCAGCAGCCGCGGUAAUACGUAGGGUGCAAGCGUUGUCCGGAAUUAUUGGGCGUAAAGAGCUCGUAGGCGGUUUGUCGCGUCUGCUGUGAAAUCCCGAGGCUCAACCUCGGGCUUGCAGUGGGUACGGGCAGACUAGAGUGCGGUAGGGGAGAUUGGAAUUCCUGGUGUA
RNAcentral lists this ribosomal RNA (385 nucleotides) under Curtobacterium sp. Its description in RNAcentral is "bacterial SSU rRNA". It matches the Rfam family "Bacterial small subunit ribosomal RNA", at positions 280 to 677 of the family's 1533-position model. Lineage: Bacteria; Bacillati; Actinomycetota; Actinomycetes; Micrococcales; Microbacteriaceae. The record is from RNAcentral.